RNAcentral lists this ribosomal RNA (551 nucleotides) under uncultured archaeon. Its description in RNAcentral is "bacterial SSU rRNA". It matches the Rfam family "Archaeal small subunit ribosomal RNA", at positions 325 to 879 of the family's 1478-position model. The record is from RNAcentral.
ACGGGGUGCAGCAGGCGCGAAACCUCCUCAAUGCACUAACGUGCGAAGGGGUUACCUCGAGUGCCACCUGAAGAAGGUGGCUUUUCCUUGGUCUAAAAAGCCUCGGGAAUAAGAGGGGGGCAAGACUGGUGUCAGCCGCCGCGGUAACACCAGCCCCUCGAGUGGUGGGGAUGAUUAUUUGGCCUAAAGCGUCCGUAGCCGGCCGUAUAAGUUUCCCGUUAAAUCCAACGUCUCAAGCGUUGGACUGCGGGAAAUACUGUACGGCUAGAGAGUGGGAGAGGUCAGCGGUAUUCUGGGGGUAGGGGCGAAACCCUUUGAUCCCCGGAGGACCACCAGUGGCGAAGGCUGCUGACUAGAACACGUCUGACGGUCAGGGACGAAAGCUGGGGUAGCGAACCGGAUUAGAUACCCGGGUAGUCCCAGCCGUAAACGAUGCAUGCUAGGUGUUGGGUUGGCCACGAGCCACCCCAGUGCCGCAGGGAAGCCGUUAAGCAUGCCGCCUGGGAAGUACGAUCGCAAGAUUGAAACUUAAAGGAAUGGCGGGGGAGCAC